This 520-nucleotide small RNA is filed under the name uncultured Glomus. RNAcentral describes it as "SSU rRNA". It matches the Rfam family "Eukaryotic small subunit ribosomal RNA", at positions 569 to 1092 of the family's 1831-position model. Lineage: Eukaryota; Fungi; Glomeromycota; Glomeromycetes; Glomerales; Glomeraceae. The record is from RNAcentral.
AGCAGCCGCGGUAAUUCCAGCUCCAAUAGCGUAUAUUAAAGUUGUUGCAGUUAAAAAGCUCGUAGUUGAAUUUCGAGACCGGUUUACUGGUCGUGCUUUUGUACGUACUGGUAUUAUUGGUUUCUCCUUUCUGACGAAUCAUAAUGCCAUUAAUUUGGUGUUUUGGGGAAUCAGGACUGUUACUUUGAAAAAAUUAGAGUGUUUAAAGCAGGCUCACGCUUGAAUACAUUAGCAUGGAAUAACGAAAUAGGACGUUUGAUUUUAUUUUGUUGGUUUCUAGGAUCGACGUAAUGAUUAAUAGGGAUAGUUGGGGGCAUUAGUAUUCAAUUGUCAGAGGUGAAAUUCUUGGAUUUAUUGAAGACUAACUACUGCGAAAGCAUUUGCCAAGGAUGUUUUCAUUAAUCAAGAACGAAAGUUAGGGGAUCGAAGACGAUCAGAUACCGUCGUAGUCUUAACCAUAAACUAUGCCGACUAGGGAUCGGAUGAUGUUAAUUUUUAAUGACUCAUUCGGCGCCUUACG